RNAcentral lists this transfer RNA (88 nucleotides) under Pseudomonadota bacterium. RNAcentral describes it as "tRNA-Ser". It matches the Rfam family "tRNA". Rfam says of the family: Transfer RNA (tRNA) molecules are approximately 80 nucleotides in length. Their secondary structure includes four short double-helical elements and three loops (D, anti-codon, and T loops). Further hydrogen bonds mediate the characteristic L-shaped molecular structure. tRNAs have two regions of fundamental functional importance: the anti-codon, which is responsible for specific mRNA codon recognition, and the 3' end, to which the tRNAs corresponding amino acid is attached (by aminoacyl-tRNA synthetases). tRNAs cope with the degeneracy of the genetic code in two manners: having more than one tRNA (with a specific anti-codon) for a particular amino acid; and 'wobble' base-pairing, i.e. permitting non-standard base-pairing at the 3rd anti-codon position. Lineage: Bacteria; Pseudomonadati; Pseudomonadota. The record is from RNAcentral. RNAcentral also lists the same sequence under 1 other name.
GGAGGGAUGGCCGAGUGGUUGAAGGCGGCGGUCUUGAAAACCGUUAUGUCGAAAGGCAUCGGGAGUUCGAAUCUCCCUCCCUCCGCCA